This 406-nucleotide ribosomal RNA is filed under the name uncultured bacterium. Its description in RNAcentral is "bacterial SSU rRNA". It matches the Rfam family "Bacterial small subunit ribosomal RNA", at positions 355 to 775 of the family's 1533-position model. The record is from RNAcentral.
UGGGGAAUAUUGGGCAAUGGGGGAAACCCUGACCCAGCGACGCCGCGUGGAGGAAGGAGCCCUUCGGGGUGUAAACUCCUGUUGUAAGGGAAGAAGGCGGUGACGGUACCUUACGAGGAAGCCCCGGCAAACUACGUGCCAGCAGCCGCGGUAACACGUAGGGGGCGAGCGUUGUCCGGAAUUACUGGGCGUAAAGCGCACGCAGGCGGAUGCGCGCGUCGGCUGUGAAAUGCACCGGCUCAACCGGUGCACUGCGGUCGAUACGGCGCAUCUGGAGUGCGGGAGAGGGAAGCGGAAUUCCCGGUGUAGCGGUGAAAUGCGUAGAUAUCGGGAGGAACGCCGGUGGCGAAGGCGGCUUCCUGGCCCGCAACUGACGCUCAUGUGCGAAAGCCAGGGGAGCGAACCG